Oryza brachyantha (malo sina) is the source of this 2672-nucleotide RNA transcript. It is a transcript of the gene named zinc transporter 7, with no coding region annotated. The record is from RefSeq and is a predicted model, not a curated record. The transcript is spliced from 5 exons. NCBI's taxonomy places the organism in Eukaryota, Viridiplantae, Streptophyta, Magnoliopsida, Poales, Poaceae.
GGACGCCACGAGGCCACGACUUGGACUUGUCCUCCUCUCCCUCCCUCCCUCCCUCCCUCUCCCUCUCUCCGGCGGGCGACCGCCUCGUGGGGGAUUCCGUUUGCUUCUCUCUUCUCCUUCUCCCUGUCGCGCUGUCGCUUUCCGCCCGGCGGGCCGGUGCGGUGCGGUGCUUUAUAAGUGACGUGAGGAGCAAGUGAGGGAGGCAUCCAAUUCAAUUCAAUCCAAAGCGACGGCGGGGCGGCGGGAGUUGGGGAAAGGCUAAAGGAGUGGCUUAGAGUUUGAGGGAAUUUCUUUCUUUUGUUUGUUUGGAUUCGCUGCUCGGAGACGGCCAUGGAGCGGGUUGGGCAGUUCCUGAGGCAGAGCAAUGGUUUGAUGGCGGCGUCGUUGUCGGCGAGGACGUGCGCGGAAGAGGUGGCGAAGGCGGAGGGGGCCGGGUGCCGGGACGACGCGGCGGCGAUGAGGCUGAAGGGGCUGGCCAUAGCGACGAUACUGGUGGCGGGGGUGUUCGGGGUGGGGCUGCCGCUGGUGGGGCGGAAGCGCCGGGCGCUGCGGACGGACAGCGCCGUGUUCGUGGCGGCGAAGGCGUUCGCCGCAGGGGUGAUCCUCGCCACGGGGUUCGUCCACAUGCUGCACGACGCCGAGCACGCGCUGUCCAACCCCUGCCUCCCCGCGGAGCCAUGGAGGAGCUUCCCUUUCCCGGGGUUCGUCGCCAUGGCCGCCGCGCUCGCCACGCUCGUGCUCGACUUCCUCGCCACCAGGUUCUACGAGGGCAAGCACAAGGCCGAGACCGCCCGCGUCAAGGCCGACGCCGCCGCCGCGCUCGCCGCGUCAUCGGCUAGCGACGACGACAUCACCGUGGUCACCGUCACCGAGGACGACAACAAGGCGCCGCUCCUGCAAGCCCAUUCCCACUCCCACUCCCACUCCCAUGUCCACUCCCACGGCCAUUCCCAUGGUCACUCUCACGGCCACUCCCAUGGACACGGCCACGAGCUGGUCCAAGCGGAGGGCGGCGGCGAGGGGGAGGUGCCGGCGCACGUGCGGUCCAUCGUGGUGUCACAGAUACUUGAGAUGGGGAUUGUGUCGCAUUCGGUGAUCAUCGGAUUGUCGCUCGGGGUGUCACGGAGCCCCUGCACGAUCAGGCCGCUUGUCGCGGCGCUCUCAUUCCACCAGUUCUUUGAGGGGUUCGCACUUGGCGGGUGCAUUGCUCAGGCACAAUUGAAGACCCUAUCAGCAGCUAUGAUGGCAUGCUUCUUUGCCAUCACAACACCAGCUGGGAUCGCGGCUGGUGCUGGCGUCGCUUCAUUCUACAACGCCAACAGCCCAAGGGCUCUAGUUGUGGAGGGCAUCCUCGACUCCGUGUCGGCUGGCAUCCUUAUAUACAUGUCUCUGGUGGAUCUCAUCGCCGCGGACUUCCUGGGCGGGAAGAUGACAGGGUCGCUGCGGCAGCAGGUGACGGCUUACGUCGCCUUGUUCCUCGGCGCACUCUCCAUGUCAUCACUUGCAAUCUGGGCUUGAAAAACCUGAGAGGCCAUCGGUCUGAAGACAGUUGUUAUGCAUACAGAGAGUAGUAGCAGCUCGGCUCCGGCUCAGCGACAUAACAUGCCCUGCAUUUCAUGGGCGUGAGGCUAGUCUGACGCUGAUAGAAAACCAGGGGCAUCGUAUUGUACACGUAUGUAUAGCGUUGCUUGUAGCUACUACUGGCCCCAACCGUAGGAUCACCUCAGCAAGUGUUGCUAAUGUGACAACCGCGAGGUGGUGAUAGCCAGAGUGUUGGUAUGAGUAUAUGGUUCUGUUCAUUUUUUUUUUAAUGAAGGUUGAAUCUUUUUGAUAAACUUACUCCAGAUUCAUCUGCUGAUUUUGUGCAUAACCACAGUUUGAUAUGGGUAUGAUCCUGACAUCCUGUGAUAUACCUUGCCGUACACCUCCAUGCAUGCCAUUCUGUAUGUAGUCCGUACAAGUUUGGUACGUCUGAUGGGCAGAAUCGGAGUCGGUGUGCAAUCUGAAUACUCCCUGGUGCUAAUUAAAGUAACAGCUUACUCAGCCGGCGUGAUUAGUUUAAUGCUCAAUGAGCAUAAGCCGUGCCGGUUAUCCAGAGCUUGGGAUAAACUAAUCUUCAUCGAAGCGGCACGUCAUCUGAGUUGACAAAACCGAUGGCGUUUGGGGCCAAACACGUACUAGUGGCUUGUAAGCAUGGAAGACGUCCAGUGAAGACAAAAUGGAAAGAAGAGAGACACACGUCGAAGGUGAGGUGACGAACCGAAUACGGCUACCGGGAAUCGAUCCAUCCAGCGGCAGCAGAAUACUAGCAGCAGUUAGUUGCACGUCAUCGCUGUCACAGCCUUGUUUUGUUCGAGCCGAACCCGUCAGGUAUGUCCAUGUACGCAAGGUCGGUUUCCGUAGAAAUGGCCAGGACACAACCGGUGCUUCGGUCCUUUUCGAAAUUGCCAAAACAAACCAUAUGACCCAGGAGGGACCAAGGAUAACGAAAGUUCCUAGACAGCCAAAGACACAUAAAGGAAUUGGUUUAUAACAAGAACGAAGAAUUGUUGGAGUUUAUGUAAAAUAUAUAUGCAAAGAGUUUAUGUAAAAUAUAUAUGCAAAGUCGUGUCCAUACCAGACAGCUCUGGUACACGAGCAUUCAACUAUUCAAGUAUCCCUAUAGCCUGCAA